AUUGAACGCUGGCGGCAGGCCUAACACAUGCAAGUCGAGCGGAUGAAGGGAGCUUGCUCCUGGAUUCAGCGGCGGACGGGUGCGUAAUGCCUAGGAAUCUGCCUGGUAGUGGGGGAUAACGUCCGGAAACGGGCGCUAAUACCGCAUACGUCCUGAGGGAGAAAAUGGGGGAUCUUCGGACCUCACGCUCUCAGAUGAGCCUAGGUCGGAUUAGCUAGUUGGUGGGGUAAAGGCCUACCAAGGCGACGAUCCGUAACUGGUCUGAGAGGAUGAUCAGUCACACUGGAACUGAGACACGGUCCAGACUCCUACGGGAGGCAGCAGUGGGGAAUAUUGGACAAUGGGCGAAAGCCUGAUCCAGCCAUGCCGCGUGUGUGAAGAAGGUCUUCGGAUUGUAAAGCACUUUAAGUUGGGAGGAAGGGCAGUAAGUUAAUACCUUGCUGUUUUGACGUUACCAACAGAAUAAGCACCGGCUAACUUCGUG
Molecule: ribosomal RNA, 484 nt
Filed under: uncultured bacterium
Lineage: Bacteria
Description: partial 16S ribosomal RNA
Rfam family: Bacterial small subunit ribosomal RNA
Source: RNAcentral